AUGCUGUUGACGUGGUCGGGACUCUGUUCACGUGACUGUUGUUAACAUGACGCUUAUAACUGCGCUGUGGCGGACAUGACAGCUCACAGCUCCUCAGAAGCUCCGUGAGCUGUCCAGUGAGGGGAUGGUUUCAUGAUCAAAUCUUCAUUUACCGUCCACAUUAUCAGAUGAGGACGUCACCAAAGAGUGUCCUUUGAGUCGAUGUUUACAUUUAUGUACAGAUAAUUAAGAACAUUUAGUUUAUCGUAAAAUGCUAAUUAUUUUCUCCUGCCACCUUUCAGACAGUCAUCCAAUUUGGAUGGAACAACUUCGUGACCUUAAUGACACCCAGCAACACGGUGAGAUUAUAAUCCAUUUAAAUGCAAGAAGCAUGACAUUUUUUAAGAUGUUUUUUCUUUAUUUGUGUUAGAGAUGCACACAAGCACCACAGGGGAGGAACUGCAGCAAAGGGCCCACCGGAAAUCAAACCUUGGCCGCUAUGAUGACGACAACAUGGGGCACUUGUGUGAAUCUAGCCUUUUCAUUUUGAUUUACAACCUUGGCAUUGAAAAGAGCAAAAGUUGAUGCUUGAGAUGAUUUUGGUUUUACUGAAGAGGAUGUACGUCUUCCCCUUGUCCUUUAUCUCCUUACUCUUUCUUUUUAGGUGUGACUACGACUACCAGCAUGGACCUCGACACCUUCUUUGCUGUUCCACUAGUGUGACCCAUGAUCGGAUACAAGUUGUCAAGGAUAAACGGUGAGAGAAUCAUGUCAGCCCACAGACAACCGAUUGACCUGUGAGUCUUCAAGCAGUAAUGAUGACUACGCCUGCCUUAAGUUCCAGUUUCCUGAACAUCAUGGCAUGUCUGCAGGAGAUUCGGUCCCCACCUGUCUUCAGUCUGGACCUAAUGACUCAGACACCAGUCUUGUCGAGGCUAAAUCGAGAGAGGAUCACCUGAUGUCAACAUACGAGUUUUCAAGAAGAACUUCCUGAACUUUGUGUCCGUGUGAGACUCUACCAUGCUGGGUGCCCUCUUCAGUCAAGCCUGGACACAGAGACUCAUUGCUCUUAAUCAACUCUGGGCAAGUGGCUAAUCUUUUGCUUAUUCAUGGGAUAUCCUUCAUGUCCACACCCUUUUUCUUCAAGAUCUCAACAAUGCUUUGUGAGUAUACAACACAUGUGAGUGGAUCAGUUCAACCUGUUUUUCACAGAAUGUUAGUUUCUUAAGGUUUUCAUCAACGAUGGUUUGUAUCUUGUUUUCCAAAAGGUGUUAUUAAGAUAUUUCCAUUUGUAAUUUACAAUAAUCAAAUGUUGACUGUAAAAUCUAUGCCAACCUAUUGUUAUACACUGUACCAUGUUUUAGCAAAGGAAUUCUGGUGACUUUAGUUGCCAGCAACUUCCUUUGAACUUUGUAAUAAAAUACCGUAACUGUAAUAAAGUUUACAGUAUAUAACUGUUGUUUUUACAAAACUUACUGUCAUGUCUUGUAUGUUCACCGUUAAUUGGAACUUUUCAAUAAAGUACCAUAAUAUAUUAUACAGUU
Pseudoliparis swirei is the source of this 1523-nucleotide long non-coding RNA. RefSeq lists it as uncharacterized. NCBI's taxonomy places the organism in Eukaryota, Metazoa, Chordata, Actinopteri, Perciformes, Liparidae. The transcript has 3 exons. The record is from RefSeq and is a predicted model, not a curated record.